Molecule: transfer RNA, 85 nt
Filed under: Felis catus (domestic cat)
Lineage: Eukaryota; Metazoa; Chordata; Mammalia; Carnivora; Felidae
Also listed under: 1 other name
Rfam family: tRNA
About the family: Transfer RNA (tRNA) molecules are approximately 80 nucleotides in length. Their secondary structure includes four short double-helical elements and three loops (D, anti-codon, and T loops). Further hydrogen bonds mediate the characteristic L-shaped molecular structure. tRNAs have two regions of fundamental functional importance: the anti-codon, which is responsible for specific mRNA codon recognition, and the 3' end, to which the tRNAs corresponding amino acid is attached (by aminoacyl-tRNA synthetases). tRNAs cope with the degeneracy of the genetic code in two manners: having more than one tRNA (with a specific anti-codon) for a particular amino acid; and 'wobble' base-pairing, i.e. permitting non-standard base-pairing at the 3rd anti-codon position.
Source: Rfam by way of RNAcentral
GCCUGCGUGGCUCAGUUGGUUGAGCAUCUGACUUCAGCUCAGGUCACGAUCUCAUGGUUCGUGGGUUCAAACCCCAUGUCGGGCU